GGAAGUGGUCACGGAACUCGGCUGCGGCUCCAUGGUCUGAGUUGUCAGCCGUUGUUUUUUCGUGCUCGCUAGUCGCCGCCGCCGCGCCGCCAUGGGGAAGCGACAGCACCAAAAGGACAAAAUGUACAUUACCUGUGCUGAAUACACUCACUUUUAUGGUGGCAAGAAGCCAGGUAAGGCAUGCAGUCUUUCUGUUCCCCGUUGGGGGAGUGGUAUUAAGGAACUGUGUCUUCAGGAUACAGUGAGCUGUAAAAAUAGACAACAAGAACACGGAAACUAUGGUAGACAAAUGGGCUGAGGACACAGUUCAUGAAAGAGAAAUAUACUCAAGAUAGAAGAACCUGCUUCAUCUUAGUGGUGAUUUUUGUAAAAUGUAAUUUAAAAUAUUCCCCGAUGCUGGGAGCUAAGUAAAAAAUAAAUAAGUAAAUAAAAUACAAAAUUACAUGUACAUUUAAAUGUUUUUUCUCUAUCAAGUUUAUAAGGAAUAAAAAGAA
Molecule: small RNA, 494 nt
Filed under: Pan troglodytes (chimpanzee)
Lineage: Eukaryota; Metazoa; Chordata; Mammalia; Primates; Hominidae
Description: retained intron
Source: RNAcentral